GAGAAGGGUUUUUUAAACAGGAAUGAACAUAUUACGUUGACUUAUGGAUAACUGUUGGAACAUUAACAGCGACCCAAUUAUGGCAGAUCUCGCCAGGUGUGACAAAGUUACCGAAGUUUUCCUCUUCGUCUUCUUCAAUGAUGGCAGCAGCUUCUUGAUCUCCAUCGGUGUGGAUGAAACCUCCACUCUAAAACAGCCCAAGAUCAUUAGAAACACAGGAAGAAUACCCUAUACCAGCCCAGGAUUUAUUAU
RNAcentral lists this long non-coding RNA (252 nucleotides) under Lathyrus oleraceus (garden pea). RNAcentral describes it as "Pisum sativum (pea) long non-coding RNA (PSAT_LNC041849)". Lineage: Eukaryota; Viridiplantae; Streptophyta; Magnoliopsida; Fabales; Fabaceae. The record is from RNAcentral.